Molecule: ribosomal RNA, 585 nt
Filed under: uncultured bacterium
Lineage: Bacteria
Description: bacterial SSU rRNA
Rfam family: Bacterial small subunit ribosomal RNA
Source: RNAcentral
AGAGUUUGAUCCUGGCUCAGAAUCAACGCUGGCGGCGUGCCUAACACAUGCAAGUCGAACGAGAAAGUGGAGCAAUCCAUGAGUAAAGUGGCGACCGGGUGAGUAACACGUGACUAACCUACCCUAGAGUGGGGGAUAACCUCGGGAAACCGGGGCUAAUACCGCAUAACAUCACGAGGGGAAGAUCCUUGUGAUCAAAGGAGCAAUUCGCUCCAGGAGGGGGUCGCGGCUGAUUAGCCAGUUGGCGGGGUAACGGCCCACCAAAGCGAAGAUCAGUAGCCGGCCUGAGAGGGCGCACGGCCACACUGGAACUGAAACACGGUCCAGACUCCUACGGGAGGCAGCAGUGGGGAAUUUUGCGCAAUGGGGGAAACCCUGACGCAGCAACGCCGCGUGGAGGAUGAAGUCCCUUGGGAUGUAAACUCCUUUCGAUCGGGACGAUAAUGACGGUACCGGAAGAAGAAGCACCGGCUAACUCUGUGCCAGCAGCCGCGGUAAUACAGAGGGUGCAAGCGUUGUUCGGAAUUAUUGGGCGUAAAGGGCGCGUAGGCGGUGCGGUAAGACUGUGGUGAAAUCUCCGGGCUC